This 301-nucleotide ribosomal RNA is filed under the name uncultured bacterium. Its description in RNAcentral is "partial 16S ribosomal RNA". It matches the Rfam family "Bacterial small subunit ribosomal RNA", at positions 509 to 807 of the family's 1533-position model. The record is from RNAcentral.
CAGUCGCCGCGGUAAUACGUAGGUGGCAAGCGUUGUCCGGAAUUAUUGGGCGUAAAGGGCUCGUAGGCGGUUUCUUAAGUCUGAUGUGAAAGCCCCCGGCUCAACCGGGGAGGGUCAUUGGAAACUGGGAAACUUGAGUGCAGAAGAGGAGAGUGGAAUUCCACGUGUAGCGGUGAAAUGCGUAGAGAUGUGGAGGAACACCAGUGGCGAAGGCGACUCUCUGGUCUGUAACUGACGCUGAGGAGCGAAAGCGUGGGGAGCGAACAGGAUUAGGUACCCCUGUAGUCCCUGUCUCUUAUAC